This is a long non-coding RNA of Panthera uncia (snow leopard), 561 nucleotides long. RefSeq lists it as uncharacterized. Lineage: Eukaryota; Metazoa; Chordata; Mammalia; Carnivora; Felidae. The transcript has 3 exons. The record is from RefSeq and is a predicted model, not a curated record.
GAUUGUCUCCGCAGAAAGCCAAUGUUCAUGAUCAUUAUUCUUGCGGAUGAGGAGUCUCAAGGUGACCGGUGUUUGCUGGAGAAGCUGCUGUAAUUUGCAAGACACAUUUCAGUACUCAGUACCCACAGGAAGUAUAUACAGCCCUUGUCCUACUAAAAGUUUUUCUUUACAACCGGGAAAGUGGCCUUGGUUAUCUUUCCAAGGAGAUAUUUGGUUAAAGCAUCAGCUACAGCCUGACCUCUGACGACUGCUGAGUAAGAACUUGACAGACUUCCCCCACUCCCCACCCUCAGGUGGGCAAAAUGGAUGAAAGUGGUCAAAAGCUUUGCCGAUGGUAUUCAGGAACAAGGCAUCUGUAUCUUCCUAUGGGGAAAACAAUAAGCAAAAAGCAGGCUCUUCUGGAACCACAGGCUCCUUGUGCAGCUGCUGUGUAAUCAAGAAGCUAGAGGUAGCAGGACCCGACCCUUCUGCCCAACACACCAGCCAAGAGCCUCUGGUGCACACAUCCUAGUUACCUGCUCAGAAAGGGAAACACAAUUGGUCAAUAAAUGCAAGAAAAAG